UACGGAAGGGGCAAGCGUUGUUCGGAAUCAUUGGGCGUAAAGGGCGCGUAGGUGGUUCUGUAUGUCUACCGUGAAAGCGUACGGCUCAACCGUAUUUUGUCGGUAGAAACUGCAGGACUUGAGGCUGGGGAGGGGCUGGUGGAAUUCCCUGUGUAGCGGUGAAAUGCGUAGAGAUGGGGGAGAACACUCGUGGCGAAGGCGGCCAGCUAGACCAGUUCUGACACUGAGGCGCGACAGCGUGGGGAGCAAACAGGAUUAGAUACCCCCGAGUAGCCAC
This 277-nucleotide ribosomal RNA is filed under the name uncultured bacterium. RNAcentral's name for it is "partial 16S ribosomal RNA". It matches the Rfam family "Bacterial small subunit ribosomal RNA", at positions 524 to 798 of the family's 1533-position model. The record is from RNAcentral.